AAGGGGGAAAAAUAGCCCUGGAGAAGGCAGACAAGCAGCUGCGUUAUACACGACCCCCUCCCAACCUGAAGGUCUUCUUCUUCAGGAGAAAACUAAAUUCGACUACCCCAUUCCACCAGUAGCCCUCUUCUCCUCCCCACAUACGAAACAACCAUUGCCGCUUCUGCUUCUUCUCGUUCAAUACAGCCCCCCGAAAACCACUACACCCCUGCCCACCAUGAAACCAGCUAUACACACAGCAAUAUACAGAGAACAGAGGGAAGAAAAAUGGAAUUCGAAUGAUAUUUGGAUUUAAGUUUGCGUUCGAUUCGAGAUUCUUGGUGCCGAGUUGAGUUUCCAGUCCUAAUUUCUGCUCGUUUUUUGCCGUUUAACCACUGAUUUCUCGGAGUCAAGACGUGUAUUCAGUGCUAUUUCAUUGAUUUUUGAAGAGAAUUUUGGCUCAGCAGGUUUAUUUCUGUAUAUGGCUGUUGAUGCAAUAAAUUAGCCCCCUGAAAUGUGAGCUCUAUUUGGUUUCAAUUUGAUUUUAUCUUUAAAAAAAUAGUAGAGUUUCGCUAGUUUACUUUUUGUUAGAAGAAGGUCAAUGUGUAUAUUUACCUGAUGCUC
Molecule: long non-coding RNA, 603 nt
Filed under: Nicotiana benthamiana
Lineage: Eukaryota; Viridiplantae; Streptophyta; Magnoliopsida; Solanales; Solanaceae
Description: long non-coding RNA (NBEN_LNC006149)
Source: RNAcentral